Molecule: ribosomal RNA, 644 nt
Filed under: uncultured bacterium
Lineage: Bacteria
Description: bacterial SSU rRNA
Rfam family: Bacterial small subunit ribosomal RNA
Source: RNAcentral
CGAGUAAAGCAGCGAUGCGCUUAGGGAUGGGCCUGCGGCGGAUUAGGUAGUUGGUGGGGUAACGGCCUACCAAGCCGAUGAUCCGUAGGGGGCGUGAGAGCGUGGCCCCCCACACUGGCACUGAGACACGGGCCAGACUCCUACGGGAGGCAGCAGUGAGGAAUAUUGCACAAUGGGCGCAAGCCUGAUGCAGCAACGCCGCGUGAGGGACGAAGGCCUUCGGGUUGUAAACCUCUUUUCUGAGGGACGAGGAAGGACGGUACCUCAGGAAUAAGUCUCGGCUAACUACGUGCCAGCAGCCGCGGUAAAACGUAGGAGGCGAGCGUUAUCCGGAUUUACUGGGCGUAAAGCGCGCGCAGGUGGCUUCGUGAGUCGGACAUGAAAGCUCCUGGCUUAACUGGGAGAGGCUGUUCGAUACUGCGGGGCUUGAGGUUGGGAGAGGGACGCGGAAUUCCCGGUGUAGUGGUGGAAUGCGUAGAUAUCGGGAGGAACACCAGUGGCGCAAGCGGCGUCCUGGCCCACACCUGACGCUGAGGUGCGAAAGCGUGGGUAGCAAACAGGAUUAGAUACCCUGGUAGUCCACGCUGUAAACGAUGUCAACUGGGUGUCGGUAGUUUUACACUAUCGGUGCCGAAGCUAACGCG